GUCCCCAUCGUCUAGGGGACUAGGACAAGAGCUUUUCAAGCUCUCGACCGGGGUUCGAAUCCCCGUGGGGACGCCA
RNAcentral lists this transfer RNA (76 nucleotides) under Omnitrophica WOR_2 bacterium RIFCSPHIGHO2_01_FULL_49_10. RNAcentral's name for it is "tRNA-Glu". It matches the Rfam family "tRNA". Rfam says of the family: Transfer RNA (tRNA) molecules are approximately 80 nucleotides in length. Their secondary structure includes four short double-helical elements and three loops (D, anti-codon, and T loops). Further hydrogen bonds mediate the characteristic L-shaped molecular structure. tRNAs have two regions of fundamental functional importance: the anti-codon, which is responsible for specific mRNA codon recognition, and the 3' end, to which the tRNAs corresponding amino acid is attached (by aminoacyl-tRNA synthetases). tRNAs cope with the degeneracy of the genetic code in two manners: having more than one tRNA (with a specific anti-codon) for a particular amino acid; and 'wobble' base-pairing, i.e. permitting non-standard base-pairing at the 3rd anti-codon position. The record is from RNAcentral. Lineage: Bacteria; Pseudomonadati; Candidatus Omnitrophota. RNAcentral also lists the same sequence under 2 other names.